Molecule: ribosomal RNA, 117 nt
Organism: Danio rerio (zebrafish)
Lineage: Eukaryota; Metazoa; Chordata; Actinopteri; Cypriniformes; Danionidae
Source: Ensembl
AUCCACAGCCAUAUCACCCUGCAGCCCAUUACCGGUUAUUUACUAAAGCUAAGCAGGGCUGAGUCUGGUCUAUACCUGGAUGCGAGACCACAUAGGGAAACUAGGUUGCUGUUGAAA